CCCAGAUCCUGACACUGCACAUGCCGAGGCUGAGGUCACCAUCUCCCCCGACUGACCUUUGCCACCACUGGCUUGGUCACCAGGGGCUUCGUGUGUUGUCCUGCGUCUCCUUCAUCAAGGAUAGUUAAUUUAUCACUUCUUUCUGGAAGGAGGCAACUGUAGACUGGAGAAGGACUAGAAAGAGAAGGAAGGGAACCAAAGACUAACUCUACCUGCUCAGACAGUCCUGCCACUCUUCCCUUUCUAGAAGCCAGACAGGACCUGCUGCCGGAGGCCUGGUUGGCCCAGACUGGGCUGGGAGGAGCUCUCAGAGUGGGCAGAGGCUGCUGGUGGAAGCUGAAGAUCUGGAGGAGUCCCUGAGCCUCUGAGCCCUGGGCUUCCUGUCUAUGAAAUGAAGGCUUCAACUAGGACUGGUCCAGCUGACCCCAUCUUAUCAACAGAGCGAUCAAGAGUGUUUUUCAGGAACUGAGACCCCUUGUCCAGUUCAAGCCGGUUGAGACCACCAACCCAUCAACUGGGCCUGCACAAAUGCUCGAUAAGUGACCUUGUUGACAUCAAGGAGCUACAAACUCCAC
This 575-nucleotide long non-coding RNA is filed under the name Equus asinus (donkey). RNAcentral's name for it is "lncRNA (ENSEASG00005024113.1, ENSEASG00020015603.1)". The record is from RNAcentral. Lineage: Eukaryota; Metazoa; Chordata; Mammalia; Perissodactyla; Equidae.